GUAGACCCAAGAUGGGGCUGAGACUUAUCUAGACUUGUUUUUCCCAGAGAUAGAAAGAAAUAACACACUUUUUUUUUUUUUUUUAUGGAGGUCUUAAUGAUGUUUAGCCUUCAAGCUUCACAAAAUGUGACCCACCGGGUGCCCCAGAGAUCAGAGGCGCCCGCCUAUCAGCUCGUGCUGCUGUCCCUCAGCCUUGCUGUGGGAGGGGCAAAUGCAUGGAAGGAUUAUGGAGAUCCAGAAAAGAAGAGCAGGCAAAGCCAUAGAAAAAAAAAUCACCAAGAUUUAUUAACCAGAGAGAUCCCCCCUUUUCAAGUGGGAAAAUACCAGGCAGAGCUCAGAGCACACCUCCAUACCCUCACCCUUUUUGUGCCCUUUCCUUGCUGCUGUUACAACAGGACAGCAGGCUGGAUGGAUGUUUGGCUUUGCUCACUGCAAAUGUUCUUCUCCUCUUUGAACCUCAAAGAGCCUGUUUUCCUCUUACGCUUCGGAUUUUGGAUCAAUGCUAGAGGCUGCAAAACUAACCCAAGGAAGGAAAAAGCCUUUGAUUAGACAAUCUGAGUGGUAAAGAAAAGUAUUGAACGGAAAGCGCUGUCAAUGAGCUACUCAAUGCAACAAUUAGAAGGUGAAACUUUUUCUUUCCCUUUCUAAGCAAGACACACCUCUGCUCUGCUGGAAGGAGGUGGGUGGGAGGAAUUUUUCUUGUUCUGGUGCCCAAUUGUCUCCUGGACCUUUUCCAUUUCAAAGAAGAGGGUGACCUAUAAAACUGUCCCACUUUCACAUCACCCAGUGCAGACUAGGAAACUAUCUGACAUUUAAAGGGACACUCCUGGUGUUUCCAGUAAGGAGCUUUCUGUGGCAAUAAAUGAAUAAAGAGGUGCAGAAAAAUGAUAUCUGUGCAAAUGUCCCUGGAAUGUUUCUCUUUGAAGAGUCGUUCCAACUCUGCUGGCAAUGUGGAUGGUCGUACAGCUGAAGUUUUGCUCUGACAGGGGAUCCCAUUGUUCCAUGAGCAUGACAUGAGAAUAAAACCUGAGGUGGUUGGUUCAAAGUGCCAACGUGCCUGGACUGUGCCUACUCCAAUCCAGGACAGACCAUGAGCUGCUUUUGCUGUGGUUCUGCAGGGACAAAAGGUACCACCAUAGGCUCUCUUGGAACGUGGGUUGGGAAAACGAGACACCCAAGGCAACCUGGCCUCAGUGACAGUGCCUCUGGACAUCAAGAGGGAGCUCAGGAACAAAUUUCUGCAAGGGACUUUCUACAAAUUCCCAAGCACAAACUGCCAAACACCUCAGCGCUGGGAACAUAUAUUUUUCUGCAAAUCAAAAAGUGUUCUUUCAAAACCGUAUGUCACUGAUGGAUCGGCCUGAUUUGCUGGGCUUUCUUUUGUGAAGGUCAAGCUGGAGUCCUAUUCCAAGCUGAUGAUGGCUUUGCUUCUCCAGGAUGCAAAGACGCUGGCCUGUUUGCUCUGGAAAAACUUUCAGCCAAGGCUUUGGCAGUCAAAAUUGACUUUGGAGACUGACUUUGCUUCUUGAACUGUUCUGGACCUGUUUCUUCCCAGCCAUGGAUUGGAUGCACCGUUCGUGUGAUAAACCACAGCAAUCCAACAGCAAUCCCACACUUACACAUCUCCCCUAGAAGGACGGUAAUUCUCAUGGAGCCAUUGUAGUGCCAUGGAUGAUUUAUGGUUUUGUGUGGAAAGCACAGAGGAUGCCUGCGUUCCUGUGUCCGUGAGGAGGCCUGCCUCCAUUCGUCAGUGGAGCUCACCACUUGGGAGUCUGCUUGGAUGAUUAUCUCCAUCUGACAGUGAGUUGCAGUAGAAAGAAGAAUGAACCCUACGGCACCUCCUGUACAGGGAGCAGCUCCUGCGUAGGACGUCUGUGGCUUUGUGAUUCUUGAGAGGCAUCUGUGCAGAUCCGGUCCUUGGUCCUCAGUAACAACACAGGAUCCCAUACAGCAAGGAUGAGGCAAGAGAUGACAGCUCACCACACAAGACCAAUCUGGGUGACAAAGCAGAGUCCUCUCUUUGCUUAUCCCCCGCCUUCCUGUGCAGCAGGACUGCCAGAAAUCACAGCGGUGCAAUACUCGGCAGGAUGACAAGGAACCUGCAGUCCAGAAGAGAAGCAGCCCUGACAAUUCCUCUGUUCCUGCUGCUCAGUGAAACGGUUGCGUGUGGGAUGCGAUCAGCGCUCUGCAGCUGCUCCUACAUUAGUGUGCAUCGGAGGCACUCGAUGGAAGCAGCCUGGCGAUCUGUCUAGACUUAUUUGCUGCCAGAGACCAACACUUCAUUCCACCUCCUGCCGUACAGUUCCAGGUGAGAUCAGUCAGUCAUGCAAUUGGGAAUCCCAGAUUUUGGGCAUUUCUCAUGGAUAACCCUUAAGGCUACUUCAGAAAGCGUUUCCAAGCCAAGCGUUAAUGAGCUCUGUUCCAGUGGGGACAGACUGGGAAGCUAAUGUGAUGCUUAGCAAGCCAUGUAAAUUCAGCCUUUAGUUCCAUGUGGUAUCCAUGGGCUUGGUGCAGACUUGGAGACCCAAGAGACUGGUUGCAAAGGCUGGUAAACAUCCAAUUCCUACUCUUGCCUGUAAUUCUUAUGGCCCCCUUGCAGUCCUGCUGGAUUACUCUCCAACCCAUGCUCAUCUCAUCUGCUGACUCCUCCUGCCUCAGAGCCCAUCAGACCUCCAGCUUCAGACCUGUGUGCAUUCUUACAACAGGCGGACGCUGCUGAGUUGGCCUCCAGGCCCCUGGACACAUCCUGACCCCAGGACACUGCACUAACAGAACCUGUCUGCCAAAAGAAGAAACUUAGCUGUCUCCCAUUUCUGUCUGUGGUCUGUCUCCUUGAAGACCAUGAGGUACUUCAUACAUUCCUCAGCUUUUGCCUGCUAUUUGUGAAUUAAUGGGGUGAAGCGAUUUCCCUGAACUUAUCAGAAAAUCUAUGUAAGACAGAGAAGAGGAAUGGGAUCUGGUCCAUCAGGUUUACAGGUGCUGACCGGAACAAACAAGUGGUCCAGACCCUGAAUGCUUUAAUAUCCAUCUCUUAAGAAAGAGGUCUUCUCCCCACUAUCCCAUGAAGGCAAUGAUCAUUGCUCAGAAAUUCAGCCUUUCGUCCUGAGUCAUCACUGCACCUGAAGGUGCUGGCCUAGAGCCAUGAAACUCUGCAACACCUCCUUCUGAAGAAACACAGGUGACUGUGCUGCUAUCAACAGAGGUGACAGGAGCAAAGACCUUUCUUCAUGCAAAUGAUCGAAGCAAGGAAGCAAAACUUCUUACAGCUGAAGAAGAACUGGCUGAAAGCAGAAUGUUUCUCAAAGUUUUCUGUGAGUCCACAUAAACUCUGCUGUAGAGAGAACCCCAUUGAGCUGUUCAGUAAAUUGGAUGGUUUAAAUAAUAUAUGGAC
This 3391-nucleotide long non-coding RNA is filed under the name Gallus gallus (chicken). RNAcentral's name for it is "lncRNA (ENSGALG00010022450.1)". Lineage: Eukaryota; Metazoa; Chordata; Aves; Galliformes; Phasianidae. The record is from RNAcentral.